Molecule: ribosomal RNA, 460 nt
Filed under: uncultured bacterium
Lineage: Bacteria
Description: partial 16S ribosomal RNA
Rfam family: Bacterial small subunit ribosomal RNA
Source: RNAcentral
CCUAUGGGUGGCAGCAGUGAGGAAUAUUGGUCAAUGGGCGCGAGCCUGAACCAGCCAAGUAGCGUGAAGGAUGACUGCCCUACGGGUUGUAAACUUCUUUUAUAUGGGAAUAAAAUGUUCCACGUGUGGGAUUUUGUAUGUACCAUAUGAAUAAGGAUCGGCUAACUCCGUGCCAGCAGCCGCGGUAAUACGGAGGAUACGAGCGUUAUGCGGAUUUAAUGGGUUUAAAGGGAGCGUAGGGGGAUUGUUAAGUCAGAUGUGAAAGUUUGGGGCUCAACCGUAAAAUUGCAGUUGAAACUGGCAGUCUUGAGUACAGUAGAGGUGGGCGGAAUUCGUGGUGUAGCGGUGAAAUGCUUAGAUAUCUCGAAGAACUCCGAUGGCGAAGGCAGUUCACUGGACUGCAAUUGACACUGAGGUUCGAAAGUGUGGGUAUCAAACAGGAUUAGAUACCCUUGUAGUC